GACGAACGCUGGCGGCGUGCUUAACACAUGCAAGUCGAACGGAAAGGCCCUGCUUGCGGGGUGCUCGAGUGGCGAACGGGUGAGUAACACGUGUGUGAUCUGCCCCUUACUUUUGGGUAAGCCUGGGAAACUGGGUCUAAUACUGGAGAUGACCAUGCUGUAGGUGGGGUGGUGGAUAGAUUAGUUUCGGUGAGGGAUGAGCUCGCGGCCUAUCAGCUUGUUGUUGGGGGAAUGGCGUACCAAGGCGUCGACGGGUAGCAGGCCUGAGAGGGUGGUCGGCGACCUUGGGACUGCGGUACUGCCCACAAGACUACGACGGGAAGCAGUGGGGAAUAUUGUACAACGAGGGGCAGCAUGAUGCUGCGACGACGCGUGGGGGAUGAUGGCGUCCGGGUUGUAAUAUCCCGUCAGCGAUGAUGACGCAGUGGUGGUGACGGUAGUGGUAGAAGAAGCACCGGCUAACUACGUG
This 469-nucleotide ribosomal RNA is filed under the name uncultured bacterium. RNAcentral describes it as "partial 16S ribosomal RNA". It matches the Rfam family "Bacterial small subunit ribosomal RNA", at positions 28 to 507 of the family's 1533-position model. The record is from RNAcentral.